RNAcentral lists this ribosomal RNA (253 nucleotides) under uncultured bacterium. Its description in RNAcentral is "partial 16S ribosomal RNA". It matches the Rfam family "Bacterial small subunit ribosomal RNA", at positions 524 to 776 of the family's 1533-position model. The record is from RNAcentral.
AACGUAGGUUCCGAGCGUUAUCCGGAUUUACUGGGCGUAAAGCGCGUUCAGGCGGUUUGGCAAGUCUGGCCUGAAAUCUCUCGGCUCAACCGGGAGAGGUUGUCCGAUACUGCUGGACUUGAGGGCAGUAGAGGGUGGUGGAAUUCCGGGUGUAGUGGUGAAAUGCGUAGAUAUCCGGAGGAACACCAGUGGCGAAAGCGGCCACCUGGACUGCACCUGACGCUGACACGCGAAAGCUAGGGGAGCGAACGGG